This 595-nucleotide unclassified non-coding RNA is filed under the name uncultured Lewia. RNAcentral's name for it is "sequence contains 18S rRNA gene, ITS1, 5.8S rRNA gene, ITS2 and 28S rRNA gene". Lineage: Eukaryota; Fungi; Ascomycota; Dothideomycetes; Pleosporales; Pleosporaceae. The record is from RNAcentral.
UUAAGUUCAGCGGGUAUCCCUACCUGAUCCGAGGUCAAAGGUUGAAAAAAAGGCUUGCUGGACGCUGACCUUGGCUGGCGAAGAGCGCGACUUGUGCUGCGCUCCGAAACCAGUAGGCCGGCUGCCAAUGACUUUAAGGCGAGUCUCCGGCGAACUGGAGACAAAAGACGCCCAACACCAAGCAAAGCUUGAGGGUACAAAUGACGCUCGAACAGGCAUGCCCUUUGGAAUACCAAAGGGCGCAAUGUGCGUUCAAAGAUUCGAUGAUUCACUGAAUUCUGCAAUUCACACUACGUAUCGCAUUUCGCUGCGUUCUUCAUCGAUGCCAGAACCAAGAGAUCCGUUGUUGAAAGUUGUAAUUAAUUACGUUGUUACUGACGCUGAUUGCUAUUGCAAAAGGUUUGUGGUUGGUCCUGAGGGCGGGCGAGCCCACCCAGGAAACAAGAAGUACGCAAAAGACACGGGUGAAUAAUUCAGCAGGGCCGGCCCCGCCGCGCACGCCGUGAAGCAGUGCCCAGCGGGGGGUGUCCAGCCCGCCUUGUUAUUGUGUAAUGAUCCCUCCGCAGGUUCACCUACGGAGACCUUGUUACGACUU